AUGUUGGUGUUGAAGAAACUUGGUGUUCAAACCGGUGGUCUUGGAAAUGGUGGAAACUUCAAGAUCACCCUACAAGUUUUCUUCAGUAGCUACCAGAGGAAUCUUCAAGAUCACCGUACAUUUGGUUUAAAUCAUGAGAUGCCAUUUUGGCAGAAAACUUUGUUACAGGGAAACCUCCCGGUAUUUCAGCUCCGUCAUUGGGAUGAUUUUUCCUUUGAUGCUUGA
RNAcentral lists this long non-coding RNA (225 nucleotides) under Vicia faba (fava bean). The record is from RNAcentral. Lineage: Eukaryota; Viridiplantae; Streptophyta; Magnoliopsida; Fabales; Fabaceae.